AGAUGUGAGGGUGAUCUGGCUGUGACAUCAGUCACCCCAUUGAUUGCCAGGGUUGAUUUGGCUGGCUAGGCGGGUGUCCCCUUCCUCCCUCAGCACUCCAUGUGUGUCCCUCCUGAAGCUGCAUGCUCAGUCCAAGAGGACGGCCUUCCCCAAAUAGAGAAGGAUCGUCAGUUUCCC
RNAcentral lists this small nuclear RNA (177 nucleotides) under Erinaceus europaeus (western European hedgehog). RNAcentral's name for it is "7SK RNA". It matches the Rfam family "7SK RNA". Rfam says of the family: 7SK was discovered as an abundant small nuclear RNA in the mid-70s but a possible function has only recently been suggested. The record is from Rfam by way of RNAcentral. Lineage: Eukaryota; Metazoa; Chordata; Mammalia; Eulipotyphla; Erinaceidae.